GUUCCCGGGCCUUGUACACACCGCCCGUCACACCAUGGGAGUGGGUUGCACCAGAAGUAGCUAGUCUAACCUUCGGGAGGACGGUUACCACGGUGUGAUUCAUGACUGGGGUGAAGUCGUAACAAGGUAGCCGUAGGGGAACCUGCGGCUGGAUCACCUCCUUA
This 164-nucleotide ribosomal RNA is filed under the name Pseudomonas viridiflava. RNAcentral describes it as "partial 16S ribosomal RNA". It matches the Rfam family "Bacterial small subunit ribosomal RNA", at positions 1370 to 1533 of the family's 1533-position model. Lineage: Bacteria; Pseudomonadati; Pseudomonadota; Gammaproteobacteria; Pseudomonadales; Pseudomonadaceae. The record is from RNAcentral. RNAcentral also lists the same sequence under 3 other names.